Molecule: RNA transcript, 1982 nt
Organism: Lathyrus oleraceus (garden pea)
Lineage: Eukaryota; Viridiplantae; Streptophyta; Magnoliopsida; Fabales; Fabaceae
Exons: 7
Source: RefSeq, a predicted model, not a curated record
UAAUACACUAGCAAAGUGGUCACGACAAACCGACAGAUAGAAAAAAUAGAGGAUAAGAAAUCAUGAAAUCAGUGUUAUCAAAAUGAAGUGCAUAAUUAAAAAUGAUUUUUGUACCACAAUGAUUAAAAAGACCCCUCAGUCACUAAACUACUACUAUUCCUACAUAUAUACACCUGUUUCUUUUUUAUAAAAACAUCACCACACAGAAAUGGCUCGUGUAGGUUCAAAACGGUUAGUCUCUGUAGACUUAAACAAGAAACCAUGGGAGCAGGAGCUACCUCUUCACAACCGGUGGCAUCCGGAGAUACCUCCGGUUGCGGAGGCGACAACCGGCGAACUUUUCAGAGUUGAGAUGAUAGAUUUCAGUGGUGGUGCUAUCACUAAAAAUCCCACUGCUGAUGAUGCCAAACACGUUGAUCUCUCUCAAGUGCAUUACCUUAGUGGGCCAAUAAGAGUUGUGGACAAUGAUGGCCUCCCAGCCAUGCCUGGAGAUUUGCUUGCUGUUGAAAUAUGCAACUUAGGUCCUCUCCCUGGUGAUGAAUGGGGCUUUACAGCAACAUUUGACAGAGAAAACGGAGGCGGUUUCUUGACAGAUCAUUUUCCUCAUGCCACAAAAGCUAUCUGGUACUUUGAAGGGAUAUAUGCUUAUUCACCUCAGAUACCAGGAGUGAGGUUUCCAGGUAUAACACAUCCUGGUAUAAUUGGAACUGCACCAUCAAUGGAACUUCUAAACAUAUGGAAUGAAAGAGAAAGAGAUGUGGCAGAAAAUGGUCUUCAGUCUCUUAAACUAUGUGAGGUUUUGCAUUCCAGACCCUUGGCAAACUUACCAACACCAAGAAAUUGUCACCUCGGAAAGAUUGAAAAAGGUUCUAAUGAAUGGGAGAAGAUUGCAAGGGAAGCAGCAAGAACAAUACCUGGAAGAGAAAACGGUGGAAAUUGUGACAUAAAAAAUCUAAGCAGAGGUUCAAAGGUAUACCUUCCUGUUUUUGUAGAAGGAGCAAAUCUCAGCACUGGUGACAUGCACUUUUCACAGGGUGAUGGUGAGGUCUCACUAUGUGGUGCAAUUGAAAUGAGUGGUUUCUUAGAACUCAAGUGUGAUAUUAUAAGGGGUGGAAUGAAAGAGUACCUUACACCAAUGGGCCCCACUCCCCUUCAUGUGAACCCAAUAUUUGAGAUAGGCCCUGUUGAACCAAGAUUCUCAGAGUGGUUAGUGUUUGAGGGCAUUAGUGUGGAUGAAUAUGGGAAGCAACACUACCUUGAUGCUUCUGUUGCAUACAAAAGAGCAGUACUCAAUGCUAUUGACUACAUAUCCAAGUUUGGUUACUCCAAAGAACAGGUGUACCUUCUGCUAUCUUGUUGUCCUUGUGAAGGAAGAAUAUCUGGAAUUGUUGAUGCUCCAAAUGCUUGUGCAACACUGGCCAUCCCAACAGCUAUAUUUGAUCAGGAUAUUCGUCCGAAAAAUAACAAGGUACCAGUUGGACCUCGGCUUGUGAGGAAACCAGAUGUCUUCAAAUGCACUUAUGAUGGGAACCUGCCCAUUACAAAGAAUGCCAGUGCCUCAUCGUGAUUUCUCUAAUCUGGAAUUUAUGUCACAUGCUGUUGUAACAUAUUCCAGAACUGGUUCGAUGGACAUUGGACAAUAGUAGAAGUUCCAGAUCUGUUUCGUGGCAUUCUCUUCUUUAAAGUUUAUUUGGCGAGACAUGAAAUUGUCAAGGACGGGGCACAAUUGUGUGGGGGUGUAGUGAAGUCGAAACUUCUAAAGUUUAAACUUUAAACACGUGUAUUUUGAAUGCAGUGAGUUUGGUAUAAUCUGAACAUCUAUUGGGUUGUGUUCUGUGCUGGAACCAAACCAAAGAUAAGUGAAGAUCGAGUGGAUCAAAGUUCCAAUACGGUUGAGUGAAUUUCUGAUACGGUGGAGUGGAUCUACAAGAUUUGUAUUCCGAUAUCAAAGUCAGUUAAUAAAUGAGUAAGUAGUUUGAGUA